RNAcentral lists this ribosomal RNA (315 nucleotides) under uncultured Thiobacillus sp. RNAcentral describes it as "bacterial SSU rRNA". It matches the Rfam family "Bacterial small subunit ribosomal RNA", at positions 1062 to 1382 of the family's 1533-position model. Lineage: Bacteria; Pseudomonadati; Pseudomonadota; Betaproteobacteria; Nitrosomonadales; Thiobacillaceae. The record is from RNAcentral.
GUCGUGAGUAGUCUUGGGUUAAGUCCCGCAACGAGCGCAACCCUUAUCAUUAGUUGCUACGCAAGGGCACUCGUAAUGAGACUGCCGGUGACAAACCGGAGGAAGGUGGGGAUGACGUCAAGUCCUCAUGGCCCUUAUGGGUAGGGCUUCACACGUCAUACAAUGGUCGGUACAGAGGGUUGCCAAGCCGCGAGGCGGAGCCAAUCCCACAAAGCCGAUCGUAGUCCGGAUUGUUCUCUGCAACUCGAGAGCAUGAAGUCGGAAUCGCUAGUAAUCGCAGGUCAGCAUACUGCGGUGAAUACGUUCCCGGGUCUU